RNAcentral lists this ribosomal RNA (202 nucleotides) under uncultured fungus. RNAcentral describes it as "partial small subunit ribosomal RNA". The stretch from base 82 to 202 matches the Rfam family "Eukaryotic small subunit ribosomal RNA", at positions 742 to 864 of the family's 1831-position model. The record is from RNAcentral. Lineage: Eukaryota; Fungi.
GAAUGCGUCUCGGUCAAAGCUCAUCCUUGUGGUGUGGCUGGACUGGCGUUUCCUAUCUUCCGAUAGUGGGGUCAAACUCGCUUCGGAUCGUUUACUUUGAAAAAAUUAGAGUGUUCAAAGCAGGCGUUUCGCUUUCAUACUCCAGCAUGGAAUAAUAAAACAGGACUUUGGUCGUGUUUUGUUGGUUUUAAGGACCGAAGUA